Molecule: long non-coding RNA, 740 nt
Organism: Cannabis sativa
Lineage: Eukaryota; Viridiplantae; Streptophyta; Magnoliopsida; Rosales; Cannabaceae
Exons: 2
Source: RefSeq, a predicted model, not a curated record
UUACACAGCGCCUCUCACAUCUCUCUCUUUCUUCUCCCUCGUUGGCAGCGAACAGCCUAGACGCAUCCUCCCCCUUCUCUCUCGUUAACUUUUAUUUUUUUCUAAAAAUAAAAGGUUAACUCAAAGUUUCUCAUCUCUUUUCCGCCUCUUCUUCUUUGUCUAUUCUCUCUGCGAUCAUGAGAUCGCCAGGCCAGGCGGAGCUUCUCCCGGUGUCCUGACGCCCAAAUGGGCACCGCCAAUAGGCGCAACACCCGUCGACACGACACGAUGGGGAAUGACCAGUGCUUGGGGGUUUGUAAGGUCGUCCGUUUUACUUCACUAGAAUUUGACACCCUUCGAAUCCCUCUCCUUCCACAGCGGCUUUGAGUUUCUGGUUGAUGGAGAUCGGGGUUAUGUUGUUUACGGUGGACUAUUGUAAUCUGAUUUUGAUUGUUGUUUUAGGUGUCUAAUUUUUUUUUACAGAUGUGUUCAUGCCUAUUUUUGGGUUUUUCUUUUCAUCUAAGUGUUAAUACCCACUCCCAUUGUUCUAAAAAUAUUUUAGUAAAAAAAAUUGUAUUGAACCAUACUUAUAUUAUAUUGAUUCAAAGGAAUAUUUUUUGUUCAAUACUUUAUUUUUUUUUUUAUUUUUAUUUAUGUAAAUUAAUGCAAAUAUAUAUACACUUUUUAAGUUUUUUUAUAUGAAAAUUAAAAUAAAACAAAUCUGAUAUAUAAGUAUAUUAAUUAUUAAAAUAAAUAAAUAA